Molecule: ribosomal RNA, 254 nt
Filed under: uncultured bacterium
Lineage: Bacteria
Description: partial 16S ribosomal RNA
Rfam family: Bacterial small subunit ribosomal RNA
Source: RNAcentral
UACGGAGGGUGCGAGCGUUGUCCGGAUUUAUUGGGCGUAAAAGGCUUGUAGGCGGCCACGCUGCGUCGGCUGUGAAAGCUCCCGGCUUAACUGGGAGAGGGCAGGCGAUACGGGCGGCUCGAGGCCAGUAGGGGGACGCGGGAAUUCCCGGUGUAGUGGUGGAAUGCGUAGAUAUCGGGAGGAACACCAGUGGCGAAGGCGGCGUCCUGGACUGGUACUGACGCUGAGGAGCGAAAGCGUGGGGAGCGAUCCGG